This 467-nucleotide ribosomal RNA is filed under the name uncultured bacterium. RNAcentral describes it as "partial 16S ribosomal RNA". It matches the Rfam family "Bacterial small subunit ribosomal RNA", at positions 28 to 506 of the family's 1533-position model. The record is from RNAcentral.
GAUGAACGCUGGCGGCGUGCUUAACACAUGCAAGUCGAACGGAAAGGCUCCUGCUUGCAGGGGUACUCGAGUGGCGAACGGGUGAGUAACACGUGGGUGAUCUGCCCUGUACUUCGGGAUAAGCUUGGGAAACUGGGUCUAAUACCGGAUAGGACAACUUUUUGGAUAUUGUUGUGGAAAGCUUUUGCGGUAUGGGAUGAGCUCGCGGCCUAUCAGCUUGUUGGUGGGGUAAUGGCCUACCAAGGCGUCGACGGGUAGCCGGCCUGAGAGGGUGUACGGCCACAUUGGGACUGAGAUACGGCCCAGACUCCUACGGGAGGCAGCAGUGGGGAAUAUUGCACAAUGGGCGCAAGCCUGAUGCAGCGACGCCGCGUGGGGGAUGAAGGCCUUCGGGUUGUAAACUCCUUUCGCUAGGGACGAAGCUUUUUUGUGACGGUACCUGGAGAAGAAGCACCGGCUAACUACGU